RNAcentral lists this ribosomal RNA (496 nucleotides) under uncultured bacterium. RNAcentral's name for it is "partial 16S ribosomal RNA". It matches the Rfam family "Bacterial small subunit ribosomal RNA", at positions 29 to 507 of the family's 1533-position model. The record is from RNAcentral.
AUGCACGCUGGCGGCGUGCCUCAUACAUGCAAGUCGCGCGAACAGACGAGGAGCUUGCUCCUCUGACGUUAGCGGCGGACGGGUGAGUAACACGUGGAUAACCUACCUAUAAGACUGGGAUAACUUCGGGAAACCGGAGCUAAUACCGGAUAAUAUAUUGAACCGCAUGGUUCAAUAGUGAAAGACGGUUUUGCUGUCACUUAUAGAUGGAUCCGCGCCGCAUUAGCUAGUUGGUAAGGUAACGGCUUACCAAGGCAACGAUGCGUAGCCGACCUGAGAGGGUGAUCGGCCACACUGGAACUGAGACACGCUCCAGACUCCUACGGGAGGCAGCAGUAGGGAAUCUUCCUCAAUGGGCGAAAGCCUGACGGAGCAACGCCGCGUGAGUGAUGAAGGUCUUCGGAUCGUAAAACUCUGUUAUUAGGGAAGAACAAAUGUGUAAGUAACUAUGCACGUCUUGACGGUACCUAAUCAGAAAGCCACGGCUAACUUCGUG